CCUCAGAGACAUGAUGGCCAGAAGGAGCCAUUCCAAGUUAUGGCUGCUGUCAGAUUUUCCCCCAGGACUGCUAUACUCCACCAGAACCUCAGUGAAGGCACCAUUUUGCCCUGCUGACAAGUAGGAAGCCAAAGGAAAGGAUCUCAGAUCCAUCCAAGCAUGUGGAAAAUCUCAAGUGAUUGGACUCUGGAUCUCUCCCGCAGUCUUCAGACUUCCUUCUGAGGUUAAUCUCUUCACAGCUCCACCUGCAGAACAUUACCCUGAUUUCUAGCAUAACCAGGAUUCCUGACUUGGACCCCCCGUAGCUUCACUAACUUCUCAAGGUUCCUUAUUGCAAAUCAGUGCCAAUGCUGAAGAGCUAAUUGAAAGAAAGCCUUCAUGUUUUAAAUCACAAGUAUAAUUUUAGCUUGUUUCCUGAGUUUUGAAUCUUGACCAGAACACUGAAGUACCUGGGUUGGGUGAGAUAGGCCAACUGGAAGGCUCCAAGAAUCCAACCUUCAUGCUGCACUUCAGAAGUUCCCGUAACUCUCUAAAAGUCCUCACAGAAGAUUUUUGACAACAUAAGGUGGCACUGAAGGGACAAUCAUUUACCCUCAGUCAAAUAAGGCACAGAUAUUUCCUGAAGAUAAACUUGCCUCUGAAUUUUAAUGUUCCUGUGCAAAAAAAUACUUUCCAUUUCUCCAAGAACUGCGUGCUGUUUCUGAUCAUUAACCUCAUUGAGUCAUUAAAUUUUCAACUUAAAAUCUGUUGCUUUAUUAUAAAAGUAAAAAAAAAAAAAAAAAAAUUGAUUUAUUAUAAU
Molecule: long non-coding RNA, 799 nt
Organism: Centrocercus urophasianus (Greater sage-grouse)
Lineage: Eukaryota; Metazoa; Chordata; Aves; Galliformes; Phasianidae
Exons: 4
Source: RefSeq, a predicted model, not a curated record